RNAcentral lists this ribosomal RNA (468 nucleotides) under uncultured bacterium. RNAcentral's name for it is "partial 16S ribosomal RNA". It matches the Rfam family "Bacterial small subunit ribosomal RNA", at positions 28 to 507 of the family's 1533-position model. The record is from RNAcentral.
GACGAACGCUGGCGGCGUGCUUAACACAUGCAAGUCGAACGGACAGGCCCUGCUCUUGCGGCGUGCUCGAGUGCCGAACGGGUGAGUAACACGUGUGUAACCUGUCCCUAUCUUUGUGAUAACUUUACGAAACAGGGGCUAAUACCGCAUAGGAGCUCCUGCUGCGUGGUGUGCGUUGGAAAGAUUCGGCCGUUGGGGCUGGUCUCGCUGCUUACCCGCUUGUUGGUGGGGUAGGGACUUACCAAGGCUUUGACGGGUAGCCUGCCUGGGAGGGUUAACGGCCACAAUAGGACUGAGAUACGGCGCAGUCUCCAACGGGAGGCAGCAGUGGGGAGUAUUACACAAUGAACGGACGCGUGAUGUAGAAACCCCGCGUGCGGGAUGACGGCCUUCGGGUGGUGAACCGCUUUGGCCUGAGACGAGACGUGAGUGACGGUAAUGAGUAAGGAAGCAACGGCUAACUACGUG